CUCUCCCUGGUCCACGGAGCUUCUCCUUGCGACUUGUGAGCUAUCCCCUACCCCCGGCUCCUACUUUCCUCAUCCCUCACUACUCCAGGAGAAAACUGAGAGUCCAAAGAGGGGAAGUUAUUUGGGCAAUAUUGGGGAGCCAUUAAGUGAUCCAGGUGCCUUGAGUCCUGUGAUUCCACCUGAGCUGCUCUCAUCCUCAGCCUUCAUCCUACCCAAGGUUUGCUGGGAGGGGAAGAGAUAUAAUGAGGGGAAGAGGCAGAGAAUGGCUCCUUUCUGUCUAAGGAGAGCCGGGGAAGGAGGCAAUGCUUCCCACCGACCUGACCCCCUGGAUUCUGUUUGGGGUUGCUCCCGUGGGAGAUUACAGGAUAAAAAAGGUAGACCGAGUCCUCUGGCCUGGACCGCUCCUUCUUGUGGCCACCUCUACAGAGGGGGAGCUACCAGGGGACCGGAACCAAACCUCGCCCUGCCCGGCCCACUGAGGCCCCCCAGACUCCAGUGCUAGAGACAAGGCAAUUGGCAGAAGGUGAGGCUGGGACGAGCGCUGGAGUUGGGAGCAGAGGUUGGGUUUCUGCUUUGCCAUUUGCUAUCCGUGGGAUCUGAGGACUGCCCCUCGCCUCUCGCCUCCAGCUCCCUGGCCUCUCUUCUGACGGCAGGCCUGCAGUGCCACACUCCGUGUAUUUGACAAGCUGAGUCGGACACUCCGUGUGGUAGAGUGUCAGUUUGUCAAAUACCCCAAGUGAGGCAUUUGCCUAGCAACCCCGGACUGGGGCCGAGUGGAUGACCAGCGGACCGCCUUGCCAGCCUCGGAUCUCCGGGCCCUGACCUCCAGAAAGCAGACGUCAACUCAAUCAAGGGGGCAGCUGCAGGUGGUGCUCUCGGCUUGGCCCGAGGUGUUUGGGAAGUGGUUGGAGACACAGAAAAUGGAAGGGGAGGGAAGGCAAGAAAGCUAAGCUUGAGUCCCACCUGUGCUAUUUCCUAGCAGCAUGACCUUGAGUAAGUCCCUUCCCCUUCAGUUAACACAUCUAUUAAAUGGGCUCCGAUGAGAAACCAGUGAGAAAACGUACAUAAAGUGCUUUGUAAACUGUGGCGCACUAGAUAAAAAUUUGCUUUUAAUAAUACCAAGGCUUCGGAGGUCUUCUCCCAUUCUAGGAGUAGCCACUCUUCAACCUCAUGACCUGGCUCCGUGGGGCUGGGCCCAGCAGGCUAUAUAAAGGUCAUCCAAGCCCUAUGGUCCCCCGCAUUGGGAUGAGGGAGAAGGAAGAACUGAAGUCACCUCCUUGGGCCCUGUGUUACCUUGCUAAAAUAAUUUCUGUUUAAGUCCCAACUUCUCCAAAUGGAGACAAUAAUCCCUGCCUCGACUACUCUUCAAGGCUGUUAGGAGAACCAAAUGACAGCCAUGUGUAUAAACUAGAAAGUGCUAGAGAGGUGGGAGUUAACAUUACUCUGCUAUUAUCAUUCCUGCUUAUUCUCUGUUAGAAUGGAAGCUCCUCGAAGCAGAGACUGUUUUGCUUUUGUUAUUGUAGCUGAAAUACAGCAGGCACUUAAUAAA
This is a long non-coding RNA of Sarcophilus harrisii (Tasmanian devil), 1549 nucleotides long. Lineage: Eukaryota; Metazoa; Chordata; Mammalia; Dasyuromorphia; Dasyuridae. The record is from Ensembl.